RNAcentral lists this ribosomal RNA (207 nucleotides) under uncultured bacterium. Its description in RNAcentral is "partial 16S ribosomal RNA". It matches the Rfam family "Bacterial small subunit ribosomal RNA", at positions 568 to 774 of the family's 1533-position model. The record is from RNAcentral.
UGUGUAGGCGGGGCUGUAAGUCAGAGGUGAAAUCCCACGGCUCAACCGUGGAACUGCCUUUGAUACUGCAGUUCUUGAGUCUCGGAGGGGUUGCUGGAAUUCGUGGUGUAGCGGUGAAAUGCGUAGAUAUCACGAGGAACACCAGAGGCGUAGGCGGGCAACUGGACGAGUACUGACGCUGAGGCACGAAAGCGUGGGGAGCAAACA